RNAcentral lists this ribosomal RNA (599 nucleotides) under uncultured bacterium. RNAcentral describes it as "bacterial SSU rRNA". It matches the Rfam family "Bacterial small subunit ribosomal RNA", at positions 533 to 1130 of the family's 1533-position model. The record is from RNAcentral.
UGCAAGCGUUAAUCGGAAUUACUGGGCGUAAAGCGUGCGCAGGCGGUUAUACAAGACAGGCGUGAAAUCCCCGGGCUUAACCUGGGAAUGGCGCCUGUGACUGUAUAGCUAGAGUGUGUCAGAGGGGGGUAGAAUUCCACGUGUAGCAGUGAAAUGCGUAGAUAUGUGGAGGAAUACCAAUGGCGAAGGCAGCCCCCUGGGAUAACACUGACGCUCAUGCACGAAAGCGUGGGGAGCAAACAGGAUUAGAUACCCUGGUAGUCCACGCCCUAAACGAUGCUGACUAGUUGUUCGGAAUUUACAUUCUGAGUAACGUAGCUAACGCGUGAAGUCAGCCGCCUGGGGAGUACGGUCGCAAGAUUAAAACUCAAAGGAAUUGACGGGGACCCGCACAAGCGGUGGAUGAUGUGGAUUAAUUCGAUGCAACGCGAAAAACCUUACCUACCCUUGACAUGUCACUAACGAAGUAGAGAUACAUUAGGUGCCCGUAAGGGAAAGUGAACACAGGUGCUGCAUGGCUGUCAUCAGCUCGUGUCGUGAGAUGUUGGGUUUAGUCCCGCAACGAGCGCAACCCUUGUCUUUAGUUGCUACGCAAGAGC